This 501-nucleotide ribosomal RNA is filed under the name uncultured bacterium. Its description in RNAcentral is "bacterial SSU rRNA". It matches the Rfam family "Bacterial small subunit ribosomal RNA", at positions 28 to 517 of the family's 1533-position model. The record is from RNAcentral.
GAUGAACGCUAGCUACAGGCUUAACACAUGCAAGUCGAGGGGAAACGAUAUUGGAAGCUUGCUUCCGAUAGGCGUCGACCGGCGCACGGGUGAGUAACGCGUAUCCAACCUGCCCAUCACUUGGGGAUAACCUUGCGAAAGUAAGACUAAUACCCAAUGACGUCUCUAGAAGACAUCUGAAAGAGAUUAAAGAUUUAUCGGUGAUGGAUGGGGAUGCGUCUGAUUAGCUUGUUGGCGGGGUAACGGCCCACCAAGGCGACGAUCAGUAGGGGUUCUGAGAGGAAGGUCCCCCACAUUGGAACUGAGACACGGUCCAAACUCCUACGGGAGGCAGCAGUGAGGAAUAUUGGUCAAUGGACGAGAGUCUGAACCAGCCAAGUAGCGUGCAGGAUGACGGCCCUAUGGGUUGUAAACUGCUUUUAUAAGGGAAUAAAGUGGGAGUCGUGACUCUUUUUGCAUGUACCUUAUGAAUAAGGACCGCUAAUUCCGUGCCAGCAGCCG